GUAUCUCAUCACGACCUGGACAGUGGCUGUGCUGAUGGGUAUGUGACUUUAUUUGCCUAUGUCUGUUUCUAGUCAGCAGAUUUGUCAUAGGCAUAUUAGUGUAGUUACCGUAUUGCAAGGGCUGAAAUCUGGAUGAUAUCAGCUUCUUUUUAUUGUUGUUUUAAAGUGAGGUAUGUAUGGGUCUUAUGAAAUUUUUACAGAAAUAUAUUGGAGGGCAAAUAAUUUUAUUUUAGUUUUUUAUUCCCAAAUGAUACCCAAAACAUGUAAGCUUCACACUAUGUUAAUUUCUGCAGGAUGGGAAAACAUUGGACAAUGAGUUGGAGGUUGUUGAGGGAAUGAAGCUAGAUAGGGGCUACAUAUCCCCUUAUUUCAUCACCAACCAGAACAAUCAGAAAUGUGUAAGUUUUAGUUUGACUCAGUGAUAACUAUGUCUUGAAACUGUUAGAGGGCUGCUUGUUAAAGUUAGCAGCACCUCAAGUCCCUUUUUGCUUGAUGAUGAUUAUCUUCAAACUUGUGUAUGUGCUGAUAGGAAUUGGAAAAUCCUCUAAUCAUAAUCCAUGAGAAGAAAAUCUCAAGUAUUAAUGAUGUGGUUAAAGUAUUGGAGUUGGUUUUGCAGGUUAGCAUUUCUCUGGUUAGGUUCACUAGUUUCUUCGUUUUUACUAUGAAUUGGUUGACAAACUUUUGCUCCUUUUCAGAAGCAAAGGUCUUUGCAUUUUGUUAUAUAUUUCAGAACCAAAGUUAUAAAAGAAAAUGGUUUUCCUCUUUGUUAAUUGAGAAUCAUCUGCAGUUAUGAUUUCAGAUCUGUAGAUAACCUGUUGUUGCUGAUAUUGCUACACGAGAGGAGAAUAGAACAGCUUGGAAAAUGUGCAAGAAGGGAGAGCUAACUCAUACAACGAAGAACAAAUUGAUGAAGUUAAGAUCAAAAUUAGUAGAAUUUGUGAGCUCUCCAUUAUUUAUAAUUAUAGGUAGGAAGUAUGUAUGUAAUAGAGCAAAUAUUGGUUGACUAUGUAAUAACAAUUGAAUUUUCAAGUUUUA
This 1035-nucleotide long non-coding RNA is filed under the name Prunus dulcis (almond). RNAcentral's name for it is "sRNA ncRNA". The record is from RNAcentral. Lineage: Eukaryota; Viridiplantae; Streptophyta; Magnoliopsida; Rosales; Rosaceae.